UGAGACAGCCACACUGUCCUGCGUGUGCCUGAUCCCAUCUGAUCUUGGAAGCUAAGCAGGGCCGGGCCUGGUUAGUACUUGGAUGGAAGACCUCCUUGGAAGACCAGGGGCCAUUAGAA
This 119-nucleotide ribosomal RNA is filed under the name Mastacembelus armatus (zig-zag eel). The record is from RNAcentral. Lineage: Eukaryota; Metazoa; Chordata; Actinopteri; Synbranchiformes; Mastacembelidae.